CGCCAUCAUCAAGAGAAGGGCUGGCGCCCUCGCCAACCUGCCAGACCGGGCAAGGUGGUUUCCGCAACAGGGAUGCGGUCGGGUUUUCCUCAAGGAACUCUCCGGCAAUGAAGCGGUACUCU
This 122-nucleotide non-coding RNA is filed under the name Labrenzia sp. Its description in RNAcentral is "SAM-I-IV sequence". It matches the Rfam family "SAM-I/IV (S-adenosyl methionine) riboswitch aptamer". From Rfam's summary of the family: It is found upstream of a number of genes which code for proteins involved in methionine or cysteine biosynthesis. It has been found mostly in the order Actinomycetales. The record is from RNAcentral. Lineage: Bacteria; Pseudomonadati; Pseudomonadota; Alphaproteobacteria; Hyphomicrobiales; Stappiaceae.